Long non-coding RNA from Alligator mississippiensis (American alligator), 2916 nucleotides. RefSeq lists it as uncharacterized. Lineage: Eukaryota; Metazoa; Chordata; Crocodylia; Alligatoridae. The transcript is spliced from 3 exons. The record is from RefSeq and is a predicted model, not a curated record.
UCUGCAACAAGAAGCAGUGCUGAAUAUCUGCACUGUGCAAAUCUUGACUUUUUGCCUGUGAUUGCCCACUAGCAUUUUCCUACAGCUGGACCAAGCAUGUAGCACAAAUGAGAUGGUGUCCAGCUGUGGCAAUUCAGCCUUUAAAUGUGUUACCUAGAUUCUUUUGCUCUGUUAGCAGUUUCUUUAGUUAAAGAACAAAAGGUCUUAUCCUGAGAGGUCCUAAAUUUGCCCACUGAACUGGGUUCAAAACAAUUUAGAAGAUUCUCCAAGAUUCUCUCAUAUUGCCUCAGUAAUGAAUGUGACACUCCUGUUGGUACAAUUCGGCAUUGCUGUUGGCUUUUUUCAACAAGAGCACACUCAUGGCUCAUACUUGUCUCCUGGUCUGAUGUAAGCCCCAGGAGUACAGUGAAAUGCAACUUACAGUUUGUCUUCGAUCUGAAGAAUGACAUGGAGAACAGCAAUCUGAAAAUAAGAAAAGUGGCUGAAUCCUGCAAUCCUUUUGUCUUCAGCAGAACUGCCCAUGCAAGGGGUUGCAAGAUCAGAACCCAAAAGUAUUUAUCUGGCAUUGAAAUGGCUCUUUUAUUGAAAUCAGUUCAGAUGCUCACAUUUGAUACUGUAGACUCAUGCAGCAAGGAAAUGACUUAAAUGUUUGGAAGUCAACUGCCACCAAUUUCAUGCGACUCUGAGUUCCCAUUGUUUAGUUUCUCUACUUUAGUUUUGUCAAAAAAAACCCCAAAAUUCUCAAGAUAUUUCUCUAUCACAAAAUAAAGCCUUAAUUUACUAAUCUUUGGUUAGCAAGGCAUUCCUAUCCUGGUUUGAAACAUGCUGUAGAUAGUGCUGCUGCAAAUAGCUCGAUACAUGAAAAGGCUAAUAUCUGCCUCAGAAUAUAUAGGGUUUCCAUCCAUCUGAGAACCCAUUACUAUAACUUGGAUGCAAAAAUCCUUUUUAAAAAAUUGCACUUAAGCUAUUCUAGCUUAAUUACACUCCCCCCCCCCCCCCCACCUCUGUAUUUUCUCUGGCUCUUUGUUAUAGUUUAAAUCCUCAUAAGAAAUUGGGGGUCUGAUCCUGUACUUUUUUUGUACCUCAAAAAAUUCCACUGAUGUAAACAGUCUUGGGUGUGCAAUGAAUGGAGAAUUACAGCUCUUUGUGUUAGAAACUUCAGUGAGAUCUGAGAUCUAAAGAUAGAAUUGUCUUUUAUAUGUAUUCUCUGGCACAGAAAGAAGUGAUUGACGAGGACAAGUACGGUAUAUGAAAGAAUAGUUAAAACACAGACACACUGACGUUAUAAAACAGUGUCUCAUCAGAUGACUUGGUGUUUUGAUUAUGUGGCUACAGCAGGUCUAUAAUUUAAAUGCCAUUAAUGGGACAAAAAAGCAAUAGCAUGGAGACAAGGAUACUGUAAAAUCUUUGGGUCUGUACUUACAAUGCAGAUAAAAUAGUUCUUUUGAACUUGUCGUGCCAAAUGUUGUCCACAGAUACUACUCUUCAAUAAGGAAAACUAUUUUUUUUUCCCUCCCAGUACAGACAGACUUUUUCUGUUUAGGCUGCUUGGUGUGUACCAUUACAAGGAUCCAAGGCAAAGGGAAGCUGCUUAUAUUUUGACUAAUCCAUAUCCAGUUAGCACAUUCAGUAUAGAAUUCACUAUUGUGAAUAGUCAUGACUGUGUGUUCUUUGUACUGUAGCCUUUUGAAUAUGCUUCUUUAUACUUUCAUUAAACUAGCACACAAAGCUAAUUUUACAAGAAUCUAUUGGUGCUCAGCUGUAACAGAAUUACACAGAGUCCUAUGACUGCAUCCCAGUUAUAAUAUCUCAUUUGUUUCCACCAGGCUGUUGUAAUACCCUUUCUGCUGUUUAACUUUUUUUUUUUUUUUUUUGUCCUUUUCAAAUUAUAGCUGGAAUAUGUUUUGUUCAUUGGACUUAGCUGGGGAGCUGCACACAUUUCCUUAUCCUCAUGGAAACCAGACAUUUUAAUGCACCUCAGAGUUAUAUAUGUUGUAAUUUGUUUGCCAAAUUGGAAUGAUUCUUUCCAGAAACAAGCCCUGAUAAUUGAAUGCCUCAUGAAACAUGUACAGUAUUUUAGCUGGGAACUGCUUUUAAGUGCAUAUUUCAAAAGGGAAAAAGAAAUGUUGUGUAAGUUAAACUUGCCUAAGUGUUUCAAGUUUUCUAGUUGGAAAUUAUGAUAAUAAAUGCAUUAUUCCCUUGUACUGUGCAAACCCAAACAAAAGAAUGCAGCCUUUGUAAGCUGCAGUUACUCAGGCCACUUUUUUGUAUACUGGCUUAUUGUAUAUAAGUCUGUUACCAAACCAGGUAAGUGAUUGUUGCUAUUAAAAUUUCCCCUUCCCGUUUACUUAAAUAUAUGUAUACUUUUAAAAAUAUUCAUGCUGUGCUCUCAUGACUUAACUCUUGCUUCUACUAGAGACGAACCAAAGUCAAAUAUUAAUUAUUGUAAAAAUGGUUUUGAAGAAGUUGCCUUUACAUGAUCCAGCCCCAAAUUCUGAGUAGUGAAUUGCGUGUCUGCAUGCGCACGAAUGCGUGCCUGCACAUACAAAUGCAUGAUCCUCUUUCCUUCAUUAAAUCAGAUAUAAAAAAUCAAUUCCUGUUUCCCUGAUGUCAUGCGAUUUAAUUAAAUUAUUUAUUUAUAACUGAACUCCAGGGAACUAAGGUUACCACACUUAAUUUAAAAAAUAAAUAAACUGCUAUUCUAAAGAAAAGUUGUUCUUUGCUGUCCACAGCUAUGGGAGAUCAUCCCUCAAAACUGAAAUGUUGACUAUUUCCACAGCAGCCUCUUCUACACACCUGUAUAACAACUCAAUGUCUCUUAAUCUUAUUAUGUGUAUUAGAAAGUGGCAGCAUUCAAACAUUUGUAAAUGCUUUGAUUAUCAGAGGAUUCUUAAUCAGAGUAGUCAAUAAAAUGAA